AAUGAACGCUGGCGGCAGGCCUAACACAUGCAAGUCGAACGGAUCCUUCGGGAUUAGUGGCGGACGGGUGAGUAACGCGUGGGAACAUACCCUUUGGUACGGAAUAGCCUCGGGAAACUGGGAGUAAUACCGUAUGUGGUCGAGAGAAGAAAGAUUUAUCGCCAAAGGAUUGGCCCGCGUUGGAUUAGGUAGUUGGUGGGGUAAUGGCCUACCAAGCCGACGAUCAAUAGCUGGUUUGAGAGGAUGAUCAGCCACACUGGGACUGAGACACGGCCCAGACUCCUACGGGAGGCAGCAGUGGGGAAUCUUAGACAAUGGGGGAAACCCUGAUCUAGCCAUGCCGCGUGAUCGAUGAAGGCCUUAGGGUUGUAAAGAUCUUUCAGGUGGGAAGAUAAUGACUGUACCACCAGAAGAAGCCCCGGCUAACUCCGUGCCAGCCGCCGCGGUAA
RNAcentral lists this ribosomal RNA (449 nucleotides) under uncultured bacterium. Its description in RNAcentral is "partial 16S ribosomal RNA". It matches the Rfam family "Bacterial small subunit ribosomal RNA", at positions 29 to 523 of the family's 1533-position model. The record is from RNAcentral.